Molecule: long non-coding RNA, 815 nt
Filed under: Bos indicus x Bos taurus (hybrid cattle)
Lineage: Eukaryota; Metazoa; Chordata; Mammalia; Artiodactyla; Bovidae
Description: lncRNA (ENSBIXG00005022915.1)
Source: RNAcentral
AUGUCAAAGGAACCAUCUGAUAACAGUCUUCAUGCCAAACCUAACAGCUUUAUUGAAACAAGAAACUUUCACAUUAAAUUUCCAUGUGUUUUCUCUCCACACUCCUUAACUUCACUGCCCACCCUCCCUGUGCGUGUGUUUUCUUUUUUUUUUUUUUUUCCUCCAAAGAUAAGGCCUCUCUGCUUCAAAAACCAGAGAGAAACUGUUACAGAGGGCCAGCUGGGAUGUAGUCAAAUUAGUGGAUUAUUAUUACCUUGGGGACGUUGGAAAUCAGUUGAGGAUGGUCUUACUUCUCCAUGUUCUGAAACCAUUUUAAACCAAAACAAAAAACAGACAACCUUGCAGGAAACUCAGAGUAAAUAAAUAGUCCUUGUCUGUUAAGUGAAAUUGUUCCUUAAGGUGGAGAGACUGAGACAGGAUCCGCCAGAAGAUUACACACUAUGUACAUUAAUAGCAAAAUCAGCUAGAAGAUUGAGAGUUUCUACCAUUAGGAAACAUACACAAAUACCAUCACACCCAGAAAAACCCAUCGAAGCUGUUUUGUCAAAAGUGUGCCUGAGAGGUAGGGGCUGGAAAAGAUAAAUGCAAACUGAAUCUGGGGGACAUCUCCUCCUGAAGAGGAGAAAAAAAAAAAGUUGUGCACAGGAAUGUUCCUUUUUAAAAAGAAACCCCUUCGGAGGCACAGAACUUGCCUGCCCGCUCUGAAGAAACAAGGUGGAUUAUUUCAGCUCUCUGGGGCUUGGAACGUGUGUGUGCAAGAGCACCCUGAUAGCUGCAAUAAUAAACAUGUCCAGCUGCAAGAGCUCUGCCUAACA